This 269-nucleotide ribosomal RNA is filed under the name uncultured eukaryote. RNAcentral's name for it is "partial small subunit ribosomal RNA". It matches the Rfam family "Eukaryotic small subunit ribosomal RNA", at positions 1161 to 1452 of the family's 1831-position model. The record is from RNAcentral.
AGGGCACCACCAGGAGUGGAGCCUGCGGCUUAAUUUGACUCAACACGGGGAAACUCACCAGGUCCAGACACAAUAAGGAUUGACAGAUUGAGAGCUCUUUCUUGAUUUUGUGGGUGGUGGUGCAUGGCCGUUCUUAGUUGGUGGAGUGAUUUGUCUGCUUAAUUGCGAUAACGAACGAGACCUUAACCUACUAAAUAGGGUUGCUGGCACUUGCCGGUUGACUCUUCUUAGAGGGACUAUCGGUUUCAAGCCGAUGGAAGUUUGAGGCA